Molecule: long non-coding RNA, 1123 nt
Filed under: Canis lupus familiaris (dog)
Lineage: Eukaryota; Metazoa; Chordata; Mammalia; Carnivora; Canidae
Description: lncRNA (ENSCAFG00000037043.3)
Source: RNAcentral
CAGAACCUACACCCCUCGAAGCCCCUUCUCAAAUUCCCCCCUCUUUAGGAAAUCUCUGCCUCCUGACUUUCAGUGAUUAUUUCUCUCCAUCCAGAACCCCUGCAGCAAUAAAGGAAGCCGAUAGCACCCACCUAGGCAUAGCUCUGGUAUGACGCGGCGUCUAAUUGUUUAUUACACCAUAACUCCAGGAAAGCCGUGGCCAGUGUGUCAUAUUUCAAUGGUACAUCAUAUGGACUGAGCACACAUAUUGCUCUAAGGACAAAGGGAGAAAACUAACGUUUACUGAAAGUCUAGGAGGUGCCAGCCACUGCACUAAGGUUUUCUAUCAAUUUUUUAAAAUUCUCAUUUAAAGCUCAUAACAGCCUUAGAGUAGAAGAUUUGCUUUCCACCAUUUUAAAGAUAAGGAAGCAGAGGCUUAGAACAGUUACAUAACUUACCCAAGAUCAAAGAGCCAAUAAGCAGAGGAGCCAAGAUUCAAACACAGCUAUCAGACUCCCUGCUCUUUCUGCUACUCCCUGAUUCUCAGUCUUGGCUGAUUAGCUUCUAGAAAUUUCAGAUGCCUAGGCAGGCCCCAACUCUGAAAAUUUUGAUUUCGAUUUCUAAUCCCGGGAGAGGCAGGGAGUGUUUAUUUCUUUCACUGCUCUGUUGCCAGCAAUGCCUUGCCUAUAGCAGCCACCAGAACAUGUUUGUUAAAUGAGUAAGUGAAUUCAACCCAUCUAGAAGAGUGGUUGUCAGGCCUGGCCUAUAUAUUAGAAAUCACCCGGAGAGCUGAUGAAGGAAUGCCUCUCUCUAGGCCCUACCCCCAGAGAUUCUGAUGCAAUUGGGCUGGGGUGGGGCCUCCUGGCAGGGAUCCUCGUUUUCAAAACCUCCCCGGGGCCAUUCACAUGUGCAGCCCCGGCUGAGAACCAUGGAUCUAGAGUGAGGUCAUGGGAUCUGCAAACUUUUCAAAGCCGCACAGAUGAUCUUAAAAUUGUUAUCUCCUGUUCUCCAAUGGGGAAACUGAGGCAGAGGAAGAAGCUCUGUGUGGCUUCAGGCCUCAGAACCUGCUCAUGGUAAGCCAGGAAUAGAACCCUUGUCUUUUGUAAACCAGCUAAGCGUGGAAAGCACGGGACACGUCUCUCCA